AUAAAUAAAUAAAUAUCUAGAUAUUUAGUCCCUUAGCCAUUAAGCUACCUAUAUUAUAUAAAUUGAGAGUUGGUCCCAAUCCACACCCACGUUUUUCAUCAGCUCAAGGAGAGGGUGAGAGAGGGAGAGUUUGCUCAAGGGAAGUCAAGGGGAGUAGAGAAGUGAGAAGAAAAAAAAAAAAAAAGACUUCUUGAAGGGUGUAAGCAAGCCCGAGGCACGAUUUGGGUGUAAGCGAGCCCACUUGUUGGCCGUCCCUUUUGAGGUCCAUCAAUGCCACUGACAGGUAAAUAAUCGGAAGGUGGGCAUAGGUGGUAAGGUCUGCAAAGCAGCAAAAGGGGGAGUUCUGAAUAGUCUGGUGUUCAAUCCUUGUGGUUUGGUGGAAGGAUCUCUUUGGGGGGUCCUAAAUGCCUAGUCUAACUACUGAUUUAUAAAACCUUAAUGUAAGUAUGUUAUGUUACUUGAUUUGUUUUGUGUAUGAUUGAUUGAUAGAAGAUAUGGGGGUGUGUGUGUUUUUACUGAGCAUUCCAAGCUCAUGGCGUGUCAUGCCAGGUGAAGAAGUAGCUUACGACGGGAAAGGUUAUCCCGAAGACAAUCAAGAUGAAGUUUUAGAGCCGUGGUUCACUUGAAAAUUAGACUAGUAGUUGUUUUUGUGUCCUCUCUUCUUUUACCUUUUGGUUUGACAAUAUUUGUAAACCUCUAGUGGAACUCAAAUCAGUUAUCCAUGUUAUAACUCCGCUUGUAUGUGUAUAUUAACGUAUUGCGGUUAUCUA
This is a non-coding RNA of Camellia sinensis, 770 nucleotides long. The record is from RefSeq and is a predicted model, not a curated record. NCBI's taxonomy places the organism in Eukaryota, Viridiplantae, Streptophyta, Magnoliopsida, Ericales, Theaceae.